Molecule: non-coding RNA, 28 nt
Filed under: Rattus norvegicus (Norway rat)
Lineage: Eukaryota; Metazoa; Chordata; Mammalia; Rodentia; Muridae
Source: RNAcentral
UGGGAACACGGGCUAUGGUGGUAGCAGG